GACGUCUUUUAAUUUUUUGAAGACCUUUUUCGAAAGGUAUGCUUAAAGAGGGGCUUGCGACACAUUAGUUAGUUGGUAGGGGUAAAAGCCUACCAAGACUAUGAUGUGUAGCUGGACUGAGAGGUCGAACAGCCACAUUGGGACUGAGACACGGCCCAAACUCCUACGGGAGGCAGCAGUAGGGAAUUUUCGGCAAUGGAGGAAACUCUGACCGAGCAACGCCGCGUGAACGAUGAAGUAUUUCGGUAUGUAAAGUUCUUUUAUUGAAGAAGAAAAAAUAGUGGAAAAACUAUAUUGACGCUAUUCAAUGAAUAAGCCCCGGCAAACUAUGUGCCAGCAGCCGCGGUAAUACAUAGGGGGCAAGCGUUAUCCGGAAUUAUUGGGCGUAAAGGGUGCGUAGGCGGUUUAAUAAGUCUGUAGUUUAAUUUCAGUGCUUAACACUGUCCUGCUAUAGAAACUAUUAGACUAGAGUGAGAUAGAGGUAAGCGGAAUUCCAUGUGUAGCGGUAAAAUGCGUAAAUAUAUGGAGGAACACCAGAGGCGUAGGCGGCUUACUGGGUCUUUACUGACGCUGAGGCACGAAAGCGUGGGGAGCAAACAGGAUUAGAUACCCUGGUAGUCCACGCCGUAAACGAUGAGUACUAAGUGUCGGGGAAACUCGGUACUGAAGUUAACACAUUAAGUACUCCGCCUGAGUAGUACGUACGCAAGUAUGAAACUUAAAGGAAUUGACGGGACUCCGCACAAGCGGUGGAUCAUGUUGUUUAAUUCGAAGAUACACGAAAAACCUUACCAGGUCUUGACAUACUCUGCAAAGCUAUAGCAAUAUAGUGGAGGUUAUCAGGGAUACAGGUGGUGCAUGGUUGUCGUCAGCUCGUGUCGUGAGAUGUUAGGUUAAGUCCUAAAACGAGCGCAACCCUUAUCGUUAGUUACCAGCAUGUUAUGAUGGGGACUUUAACGAGACUGCCAAUGAAAAAUUGGAGGAAGGUGAGUAUCACGUCAAAUCAUCAUGCCCCUUAUGAUCUGGGCUACAAACGUGAUACAAUGGCUGUUACAAAGAGUAGCUAAAACGCGAGUUUAUAGCCAAUCUCAAAAAAACAGUCUCAGUUCGGAUUGAAGUCUGCAACUCGACUUCAUGAAGUUGGAAUCGCUAGUAAUCGCGAAUCAGCAUGUCGCGGUGAAUACGUUCUC
RNAcentral lists this ribosomal RNA (1190 nucleotides) under Napier grass stunt phytoplasma. RNAcentral describes it as "bacterial SSU rRNA". It matches the Rfam family "Bacterial small subunit ribosomal RNA", at positions 165 to 1375 of the family's 1533-position model. The record is from RNAcentral. Lineage: Bacteria; Bacillati; Mycoplasmatota; Mollicutes; Acholeplasmatales; Acholeplasmataceae.